This 468-nucleotide ribosomal RNA is filed under the name uncultured bacterium. RNAcentral's name for it is "partial 16S ribosomal RNA". It matches the Rfam family "Bacterial small subunit ribosomal RNA", at positions 28 to 507 of the family's 1533-position model. The record is from RNAcentral.
GACGAACGCUGGCGGCGUGCUUAACACAUGCAAGUCGAACGGAAAGGCCCUGCUUUUGUGGGGUGCUCGAGUGGCGAACGGGUGAGUAACACGUGAGUAACCUGCCCUUGACUUUGGGAUAACUUCAGGAAACUGGGGCUAAUACCGGAUAGGAGCUCCUGCUGCACGGUGGGGGUUGGAAAGUUUCGGCGGUUGGGGAUGGACUCGCGGCUUAUCAGCUUGUUGGUGGGGUAGUGGCUUACCAAGGGUUUGACGGGUAGCCGGCCUGAGAGGGGGACCGGCCACAUGAGGACUGAGAUAGGGACCAGAAGCCUACGGGAGGCAGCAGGGGGGAAUAUUGCACAAUGGGCGGGAGCCUGAUGCGACAACGCCGCGUGCGGGAUGACGGCCUUCGGGUUGUAAACCGCUUUCGAAUGUGACGAAGCGUGAGUGACGGUAAUGGGUAAAGAAGCACCGGCUAACUACGUG